Molecule: ribosomal RNA, 120 nt
Organism: Bison bison bison
Lineage: Eukaryota; Metazoa; Chordata; Mammalia; Artiodactyla; Bovidae
Source: Ensembl
GUCUCAGGCCGUAUCAGCCUGAAGGCGCCCGAUCUCGUCUGAUCUCGGAAGCUAAGCAGGGUCGCGCCUGGUUAGGAUCUUGGAUGGGAGACCACCUGGGAAUCCCGGGUGCUCGAGGCU